This 497-nucleotide ribosomal RNA is filed under the name uncultured bacterium. RNAcentral's name for it is "partial 16S ribosomal RNA". It matches the Rfam family "Bacterial small subunit ribosomal RNA", at positions 28 to 507 of the family's 1533-position model. The record is from RNAcentral.
GAUGAACGCUGGCGGCGUGCCUAAUACAUGCAAGUCGAGCGAACAGACGAGGAGCUUGCUCCUCUGACGUUAGCGGCGGACGGGUGAGUAACACGUGGAUAACCUACCUAUAAGACUGGGAUAACUUCGGGAAACCGGAGCUAAUACCGGAUAAUAUAUUGAACCGCAUGGUUCAAUAGUGAACGACGGUUUUGCUGUCACUUAUAGAUGGAUCCGCGCCGCAUUAGCUAGUUGGUAAGGUAACGGCUUACCAAGGCAACGAUGCGUAGCCGACCUGAGAGGGUGAUCGGCCACACUGGAACUGAGACACGGUCCAGACUCCUACGGGAAGCAGCAGUAGGGAAUCGUCCGCAAUGGGCGAAAGCCUGACGGAGCAGCGCCGCGUGAGUGAUGAAGGUCUUCGGAUCGUAAAACUCUGUUAUUAGGGAAGAACAAAUGUGUAAGUAACUAUGCACGUCUUGACGGUACCUAAUCAGAAAGCCACGGCUAACUACGUG